Molecule: ribosomal RNA, 242 nt
Filed under: uncultured bacterium
Lineage: Bacteria
Description: partial 16S ribosomal RNA
Rfam family: Bacterial small subunit ribosomal RNA
Source: RNAcentral
UACAUGGGGUGCAAACGUUGCUCGGAAUUAUUGGGCGUAAAGCGCACGUAGGCGGUUCGUUAAGUCGGAUGUGAAAGCCCUCGGCUCAACUGAGGAAGUGCACCCGAAACUGGCGAGCUUGAGUACGAAAGAGGAUCGCGGAAUUCCCGGUGUAGAGGUGAAAUUCGUAGAUAUCGGGAGGAACACCGGUGGCGAAGGCGGCGAUCUGGGUCGAUACUGACGCUGAGGUGCGAAAGCGUGGG